AUUGAACGCUGGCGGCAGGCCUUACACAUGCAAGUCGAACGGAGCGGCGGACGGGUGAGUAAUGUCUAGGAAUGUGCCUGGUAGUGGGGGAUAACUUCCGGAAAGGGGCGCUAAUACCGCAUACUAUCGGAUGAGCCGAGGUCGGAUUAGCUAGUUGGUGGGGUAAAGGCCUACCAAGGCGACGAUCCGUAACUGGUCUGAGAGGAUGACCAGUCACACUGGAACUGAGACACGGCCCAGACUCCUACGGGAGGCAGCAGUGGGGAAUUUUGGACAAUGGGGGAAAGCCUGAUCCAGCCAUGCCGCGUGUGUGAAGAAGGUCUUCGGAUUGUAAAGCACUUUAAGUUGGGAGGCGGUACCAGCAGAAUAAGCACCGGCUAACUUCGUGCCAGCAGCCGCGGUAAUUC
This 407-nucleotide ribosomal RNA is filed under the name uncultured bacterium. RNAcentral's name for it is "partial 16S ribosomal RNA". It matches the Rfam family "Bacterial small subunit ribosomal RNA", at positions 30 to 526 of the family's 1533-position model. The record is from RNAcentral.